UGAUAAUUAGUUUAACAUAAAACAAAUGAUUUCGACUCAUUAGAUUAUGACCAAUUUCAUAAUUAUCAA
Molecule: transfer RNA, 69 nt
Filed under: Myotis leibii (eastern small-footed myotis)
Lineage: Eukaryota; Metazoa; Chordata; Mammalia; Chiroptera; Vespertilionidae
Description: tRNA-Arg
Rfam family: tRNA
About the family: Transfer RNA (tRNA) molecules are approximately 80 nucleotides in length. Their secondary structure includes four short double-helical elements and three loops (D, anti-codon, and T loops).
Source: RNAcentral